UGUAAAAUCUUAGUGGCGGACGGGUGAGUAACGCGUGGGUAACCUGCCUUACACUGGGGGAUAACACUUAGAAAUAGGUGCUAAUACCGCGUAAGCGCACGAAGCCGCAUGGAUUUGUGUGAAAAACUCCGGUGGUGUAAGAUGGACCCGCGUCUGAUUAGCUUGUUGGCGGGGUAACGGCCCACCAAGGCGACGAUCAGUAGCCGGCCUGAGAGGGUGGACGGCCACAUUGGGACUGAGACACGGCCCAAACUCCUACGGAAGGCAGCAG
Molecule: ribosomal RNA, 271 nt
Filed under: uncultured bacterium
Lineage: Bacteria
Description: partial 16S ribosomal RNA
Rfam family: Bacterial small subunit ribosomal RNA
Source: RNAcentral